Molecule: ribosomal RNA, 340 nt
Filed under: Escherichia coli
Lineage: Bacteria; Pseudomonadati; Pseudomonadota; Gammaproteobacteria; Enterobacterales; Enterobacteriaceae
Description: partial 23S ribosomal RNA
Rfam family: Bacterial large subunit ribosomal RNA
Source: RNAcentral
ACGAGGCACUACGGUGCUGAAGCAACAAAUGCCCUGCUUCCAGGAAAAGCCUCUAAGCAUCAGGUAACAUCAAAUCGUACCCCAAACCGACACAGGUGGUCAGGUAGAGAAUACCAAGGCGCUUGAGAGAACUCGGGUGAAGGAACUAGGCAAAAUGGUGCCGUAACUUCGGGAGAAGGCACGCUGAUAUGUAGGUGAAGCGACUUGCUCGUGGAGCUGAAAUCAGUCGAAGAUACCAGCUGGCUGCAACUGUUUAUUAAAAACACAGCACUGUGCAAACACGAAAGUGGACGUAUACGGUGUGACGCCUGCCCGGUGCCGGAAGGUUAAUUGAUGGGGU